RNAcentral lists this ribosomal RNA (1079 nucleotides) under Pleurocordyceps ramosopulvinata. RNAcentral describes it as "SSU rRNA". It matches the Rfam family "Eukaryotic small subunit ribosomal RNA", at positions 79 to 1179 of the family's 1831-position model. The record is from RNAcentral. Lineage: Eukaryota; Fungi; Ascomycota; Sordariomycetes; Hypocreales; Polycephalomycetaceae.
UACGGCGACUGCGAAUGGCUCAUUAUAUAAGUUAUCGUUUAUUUGAUAGCACUUUACUACUUGGAUAACCGUGGUAAUUCUAGAGCUAAUACAUGCUAAAAAUCCCGACUUCGGAAGGGAUGUGUUUAUUAGAUUAAAAGCCAAUGCCCUCUGGGCUCUCUGGUGAAUCAUGAUAACCGCUCGAAUCGCAGGGCCUCGUGCCGGCGAUGGUUCAUUCAAAUUUCUUCCCUAUCAACUUUCGAUGUUUGGGUAUUGGCCAAACAUGGUUACAACGGGUAACGGAGGGUUAGGGCUCGACCCCGGAGAAGGAGCCUGAGAAACGGCUACUACAUCCAAGGAAGGCAGCAGGCGCGCAAAUUACCCAAUCCCGACACGGGGAGGUAGUGACAAUAAAUACUGAUACAGGGCUCUUUCGGGUCUUGUAAUUGGAAUGAGUACAAUUUAAAUCCCUUAACGAGGAACAAUUGGAGGGCAAGUCUGGUGCCAGCAGCCGCGGUAAUUCCAGCUCCAAUAGCGUAUAUUAAAGUUGUUGUGGUUAAAAAGCUCGUAGUUGACCUUUGGGCCUGGCUGGCCGGUCCGCCUCACCGCGUGUACUGGUCCGGCCGGGCCUUUCCCUCUGUGGAACCCCAUGCCCUUCACUGGGCGUGGCGGGGAAACAGGACUUUUACUUUGAAAAAAUUAGAGUGCUCCAGGCAGGCCUAUGCUCGAAUACAUUAGCAUGGAAUAAUAGAAUAGGACGUGCGGUUCUAUUUUGUUGGUUUCUAGGACCGCCGUAAUGAUUAAUAGGGACAGUCGGGGGCAUCAGUAUUCAAUUGUCAGAGGUGAAAUUCUUGGAUCUAUUGAAGACUAACUACUGCGAAAGCAUUUGCCAAGGAUGUUUUCAUUAAUCAAGAACGAAAGUUAGGGGAUCGAAGACGAUCAGAUACCGUCGUAGUCCUGACCGUAAACUAUGCCGACUAGGGAUCGGACGAUGUUAUUUUUUGACUCGUUCGGCACCUUACGAGAAAUCAAAGUGCUUGGGCUCCAGGGGAGUAUGGUCGCAGGCUGAAACUUAAGAAUUGACGAGGCACACAGGGUGG